Molecule: long non-coding RNA, 458 nt
Organism: Raphanus sativus (radish)
Lineage: Eukaryota; Viridiplantae; Streptophyta; Magnoliopsida; Brassicales; Brassicaceae
Exons: 2
Source: RefSeq, a predicted model, not a curated record
GGGCCCGUGGUAGCAAAGUUAAUUGGGCUGGGCCCGUUGCGGUAAUGUAGGGUUUUGUUAAACUUAGUAUAAAGUUUGUUUAAGAUUUCUGACCGCCGAGUCGUCUCUUUCUUUCUUUCGAUCACCCUUAACGCCUCGCCGUCGUCUGUCGUGCAAGAGAAAAUGGGAUUUCUUGGUAUGGUUGGAUACGCAACCCGUUUUGUUGCAGGAGCAAGCUGUGGAUGGGUCCUUGGAAUCUGUACGCUCAAAUAUCAGUUCUUAGGGAAUGAAGAGGAAACGUUGAAGCCAAAAGAAGAUGUGGUGAAUAAUUAGCGUAUGGUCUAAGAUUAUUAGGGUUGCUAUUAUGUAUGUUUCUUCUGACUAUGCUUUGGUAUUAUGUUAUCCUUUUUGCUAAUAAAAAAAGAAGGUGCAUCAGUUGUAAUGACGAUAAAUGAUAUGAAAUUAGCUGUUUCGACGCA